Molecule: long non-coding RNA, 772 nt
Filed under: Bos indicus x Bos taurus (hybrid cattle)
Lineage: Eukaryota; Metazoa; Chordata; Mammalia; Artiodactyla; Bovidae
Description: lncRNA (ENSBIXG00005006337.1)
Source: RNAcentral
GGGGCAGUUCUCUCUCCAGCCCCACCCCUUGGCCUCGGAGGCGGCAACACCGGCCUUGGAACCGCCACCAGCCCAAAACUGUGAUUGGGGUCUGAAUCUCUACAGCUGCCUUGAAGGUUGUCGGAGACGUCUUUGGUCCAGGACAAGUCACGAACCACAGAUGCCCAAGCCCCCGGCCCGCGGCUUGCGGGUCCAUGGAUGCUUCAAAUCUUCGCGCACCUGGACUUCCAGCUCGGCGAGAAAGCUGGUCAUCGCCUGCCCUCUGCUGGCCGAUGGAGGACUGAACUGGACGCUGGGGUGUAAGCAUGAACGCGACCUGCUCUCACGGAAUUCCAAGAUACAGACCAUAACAUCAAAUUCAAGCGAAUAUGAAAUUAUAGCUGUGGGCCAUGUGAGUGAAUAAUACGAGGAUCCGAUCCAGCCUUGGAGGAGGGUCGGGGGGAUGUUGGAGGUGGGAUUAGGAACUCCAAGCUGCCCCUAAGAGGGGACUUUCGAGCGCCUGAUGCUUCACAAAGUCAUUUCAGGUCAUCUCGAAAAUCCUGCAAGGGCGGGGGCGCUAUCCCCAUAAAGCAGAAAGCGGGGUCAGAUGGGGGAAAGAAUUUACCAAAGUCGCACAGCGAGCUAGGAGCAAAGCCAGGCAGGCUUAAGUCGGCUCGAUUCCAAAGUCCUGGCUUUUCCGCGGUUCCCGGGGCUGGGGUGGUGGCGGGCCACGGGGAUGGUCCCUCGGGGAGCACUAGGGCGCGGGGCGGGGCAGGGCGGGCUGGAGCCCGGG